This 4611-nucleotide long non-coding RNA is filed under the name Scophthalmus maximus (turbot). RNAcentral's name for it is "lncRNA (ENSSMAG00000024544.1)". The record is from RNAcentral. Lineage: Eukaryota; Metazoa; Chordata; Actinopteri; Pleuronectiformes; Scophthalmidae.
UUGCAGUGAAUCCAAUUUCUCCCUGGUGUAUAACGCUCCCAGUCUUUCCCUUCCAAAAUACUGAGCAGACACUGAUAAAGAUAAACACACAAACACCCUAGUGUGUCUGCUGCUGUGCCUGUAAAACACUCAAUCUGAAUUGCAUAUCCGCCUUGCCACCGCGCUUGUCAUACGCUGUAUUAAGAAAAAUGGUCACACAGUUUGACAUAAAUUGGAAAAUGACAUUUGGAAAAUGGGCACUGCUGUGGAAAUUAAAGAUAUUAAAAUUAUAAAUCAGUGUCUGGAAGUGAAGGGGGUGUGGUGGCUUGCCUUUUCCCCCUUUUUCUCACUGCCUCUCUCUCUCUCUCUGCGUUCAUCUCGCUCUAUUUCUCUCUCUUUCUUUCUCUCACACACUUUGUCUUUUACAUUCUCUCCGGAGGCAUUGUGGCGUUGAAGCACAGAAGUCAGUGCAGUAAAAGUGCUUUUCAAUGCAUCUUCACAUGAGUGUGCCCCACAGGGACAAUCCCACUCUGUCAUCUGCAGUAAAAGUGCAGGAUAUAGUGUGUGUGUGCGUGCGUGUGUGCGUGCGUGCGUGUGUGCGUGCGCGCGCCAGCUUCUGCGAUAUCUCGUCAGUUUACCGCUCGGUUCUGUUGCUGUAACCUGCUAAUGGAUCAUCUCUGAGGUGUGAUAUGUAUUAUGCAAAAGGAAGGUGUGCUGACACCUUUAAAAACAGACAGCUGCAAUCCUCUGUGCGCCUCACCUCUGCUCCCUCUCCCCUGUAUGUGUGUUGAGCAGGGCGAGGCGAAGAGGCUGAGUGGAGAACAGAUUUCUGAGCUACAGGUGGAGAUAGACGGGCCACACACGCUGCUGGAGGAUGAGAGGCAUGAGCUGCGAAGAAAGAUUUACCAGAUGAUGUCAUUUUCAUCCAAGCAGACGGGUCAGCAGGAAGAAGAAGACAGACAGAAAGAGAGACAAUUGCCUACCCUGAAGCUGGCGUUGAACAAUCUGCCGACUGGUCAAAAACUUGUGAAGCCGAGAACAGUUUUUGCAGGAAAGGCUUGUAUGAGCGAGUGCAGGCUUGCAGAGCUGAGGAUCCAACUUGCAGGGGGCCAAGAGUGGCAGCCAUUGCCAGCAGGGAUGUUUUGUCUAAAUGAAGCUUCUGUCGUUUAUUCCCCAUCUCGUUCUUCCUCCAUCUCUGUCGCAGUACGAGGUGGAGGUUUUUGUUCGCGGUCAGAUGAGCUUGUGUCCACACCAUGCUGUCCUGUAACCGGUUGGUCCCGCGCCGCGACUGGGAUCUCUUUGCACUUUCACGCUGCUGUAUAUCGACCGGGCCUCAGUGACACCACGGAUGCUGGAGACCUGCUCAGUGCUCUGUUCCCUGACUGUGUGAGGAGCUGUGAUUGGUCGAGCAAAGAGCCCGAAGAAGAGGACACGAGUCACUGCCAGCCUUUCAGAGCCUGUGUCUUCCCAGCAGCCAUGACUAGAGUUUCUACUUCCUACCAUCACUUUGAUGACUCACAUUCCAACAGUCAUAUCCCAUGGACAUUUAUGAAUGACAAGAAUUUAAAACACAUUUAAGGGGAUUUUUUUGUGAAAUAUUUUAGAAUGUGGUAAAAAGAAUGUAUGAAAGCUGAAAACAUGUAUUUAUGUCAUUCAAGAAAUUAUUUUUGUUACUUAUACUUUUUGAGUUCACUGUCUCAUUUAAGAAUUUAACUUACAUGUGUUGUUUCUUUUAGUUUCUUUAGAAUUAUUACACUCUCAGAAUAUAUAUUAUAUAAAUGAUUAGAAAUUGUAACAGUGUAGGGUGAAACAUUAUUUUGUAUCGUGCUAUUAAUUGUUAUUCUUUAGAAUGUCCUGAAUCACAAUAGUGUUUUAAUUUCAUAGAUUUUUACUGAAUGUAAGUUGAACACACGAGCUGAAAGGAAUAUGAAUCUAUUUUUCAUGAUGAAGUUUUUUUAUAUUGAUUUCUGCACAAGGAAAGUAGAGCUUGUGGUGUUUUGAGUCACUUACAGUAACUAUAUUCAUAGACCCCACAAGCCAGUGUAGCCAACGUCUUAAUGAAUAUGGGCAGAUAGACAAAAAAUUGCAGCCAAAUAAAAGUAUAAUAAAGGCAUCUAAAUCCUAACAAGCCUGCCUUUGUUCUUCCACUCCACCCACCACAAGUUGGCCGUGUGAAAGCAGGCGUUGUUGCGGCUUUGAGGGCAGCUCUGAGAGUUCCAUGCCCACCGGCCUUCAAUCACAUGGGAUGUCUGAGUUUGACAGUAUAAAGUCUUUCUUCUAGAACAAAAUAAGGCCCCUAAGCAAUAGUGGAUGAGCUCUUAGUAACCAUCCAGUCCACGGGGAGGUAGACCAAGCAUGGUAGUACAGCACACACAAAGUGUUGGUUAGGGAUGAGACAAUGGACCAGUGGAAACAUCACUGGAUGCUGCACCGCUCGUAAAUGUCUUACAUUUACUCACAGAACUAAAGGAUAUCUCGUUUUGUUUUUUGCACAAAAAUUCAGUUUUGCCAAAUAAAAACCAGAACAACAGUUUACUAAAUACCAGUUAAGUAAAGUUUUAGUAAUCCGUAUGGAUAAACUGAAAGGGAAAUAAUUAUUUUAUUUUCUAAACACUUGAUAUAAGAGAUACCCAAAGCAUCUUUCACUUCACAGAGGUUGUAUUGGAUUGUAGUGACGCUCUUCUACAAUGGAUUUCAUUUUGUACAUUUGUUUGUGCCCAUCUUGAACUUUUUAGAGGGCAUCAGAGAGGAUAAACCGCGAACGUACACACAAGCUUCCGUGUUCACUCACUGGCAGCGCGUAAGGAUUAAUUCCAGCCUUACAGGAAGAAGACACCACCGCUUCCUGGCCUGGCCAAAUCAAUAGGCAACAUUCUUUCUAGCAUAGCAGUCAAUACACAACACUUAAGGUGUCUGACGGAGCUAAAGAACACCAAUAAUUGUUAUUAAUGCCUCAGAUAUCCCCAAGCAUUGCGUUUAGACGCAAUAAAGACUCCUUCGGCUCGAGUCAAGUGUGUUUGGAAAUUGGAAGGUUAACACAAAAAAUAGUGACCGAUAUAUUAUGGUUUCUUUCCAAAUCCCUUGUAUGAUGUUGACGUUCUGAAGAAAUUGAAGCCACAGUAUUGGAGUGACCGUAGGGAUGGUGAUGUCAACAUGGUGGAUGAGCAUUAAAAUUUCACACAGACAUUGUGGUUGACUUUUUUUCUGCGUGUUUUUACUGGAAUUUCUAAACAACUGAAUUUGAUUCAGUCCCAGAUAAUAAAUAACUUUGGUGCCUACACUUAAUUUAUCCAAUAGUAGUCCAAUAAGCUAGAGUAAAAUGGUGAACAUUGUAAAUAUUAUACCUGGUAAAGAUCCACAUGUUAGCAUUGUUAUCGUCAGUGUUUGAGACGCGUGCUGAUAUUGUUCAGCUUUUGACAUUAAACUUCGACGGAAACAUGCGGCACAUGACAAAGUUUCAUUGAAGAAUCAACCCACCGUGAAGUCACCUAUUGGUUUGUGAACUGCCAAUUUGAAUUCGGCACUUUGGCCAGCGCCAUCUUGAUUUUCCUGGAAAACAGAAGUAACCACAUUUGGAGGAGGAGGGGUGUGAGUCUGUCCACUGCACGUUCACCCACACCUGCCUGACAUUGUAUCAACGCCCCAAUGUAAACCAUGCUUUAUCAUCUGUUUCACUCUAAAUCGGACCGUAAUUUACAAGAAUGCUGAAAUAGCAACUGAGAAUAUAAACUUCGGGAACAUGUUAAAUGACGUUAUUAAUCAAGUGAGCAGUAAAGUCAUUUUAUCAUAGAUCUUCUACCCAUAGAUUUAAUCUAUAGAUGGUUAUCUUUCUGGAACCAGUCGAGUCGCCCUCUGCUGGUCAUUUGAGAGAAUACAGGUUUUAGGCACACAGUAUUGGCUUCACUCUCCGGACCAUUCUUCUACACAGUCGAUGGUCCUUUCCAAAAAGAAAUGUUGAUUUUGGGCAUUUUUACCAGGUGAUUCUCCCUGUACUCAAAAGAGCAUUAUAAAAAGAAGCGAUUCAGUUUGCUGAAUGAAAUAAAUUAUUGAAACAAGGCGCCCUCACAUGUUGCAACGGGGACACGGCACACAAACAGGCUUUAAGUGCACCAAUCUGCGGUGGCUAUUACACAUCGCACACAAAGCCACUUUAUCAGUGCGAGCAGUUACCAAGUGAAGGACAGCUAACAACAAGCAUAUACCUCGCUUCCAUCAUAAACCACAUGUGGGUUCAGAACUGGUGAAGGUAACAAAAGACGAGCGCGUGUGCGCAUGUGUGUGUGUGUGUGUGUUCGGAGGAGGGCAUUCUAAAUUCAAUCAAGUGAAGGCCAUCUCCAGCAGGGUAACAGGGAGCGGAGGGGGGGAAGAUGAGGGGAAACUCAACUGAAGUUUCCACUGGGCCUGCUGUGCUCCUAAUGCAGCCUUGGAUGUAAUUGGGUCCCAGAAGGCUGUUCAUUAUCAGGGGUGAGCGAGGCAACAAAACAGAAAAGUCGCAGAAAGAGAAUGAAAGUGCCUCAUUCUCUGCUCGCUGCCUCCGUCCCGGCACCAUUAUGGGACAAGAGUUAAUUAAAAGAGCAGUUGAUGCUGCUGUUUUCCUCAUCAAUCUCACUUCGGCUCUUAUUAAGUUUGUAA